Molecule: long non-coding RNA, 312 nt
Organism: Hippopotamus amphibius kiboko
Lineage: Eukaryota; Metazoa; Chordata; Mammalia; Artiodactyla; Hippopotamidae
Exons: 3
Source: RefSeq, a predicted model, not a curated record
UCUCUCUUUUCCGCACGCCUCACCUCGCGACCUUGCAGGAAUCUGCGGGCCCUGGAGCGGCCUGGCUGACCCACCUGCCCAGGGCCGAUAUGCCGAGAAAGGCUUCAUGGAGGGAACCAUCCCGUCCCUGUCUUUAAAAUGAGCGCAAUAAAAGGGGGCAAAUCCUCAAACGCGAACCUGAUCACUUGUCACAGAAGCAACUUGCCAUGAAAUCCGCUAAUGCGCCGCGACUCGCCCACCGGGUUCCGGAGGUGCUGGAAGCUGUCCGACCAAGAGCUUUUUCGUUACUCCUGUUUCAUGCAGAGCACUCGG